AGUCACUGACAUUAGAUACCCGUGUAGUCCAGGGUGUAAACGCUGCAGACUUGGUGUUGGAAGCCCUUUGGGGGCAUUCAGUGCCGGAGAGAAGUUGUUAAGUCUGCUACUUGGGGAGUACGUCCGCAAGGAUGAAACUUAAAGGAAUUGGCGGGGGAGCACCGCAACGGGAGGAGCGUGCGGUUUAAUUGGAUUCAACACCGGAAAACUCACCAGUGAAGACUGUUACAUGAAAGCCAGGCUGAUGACCUUGCUAGAUUUUCAG
Molecule: ribosomal RNA, 265 nt
Filed under: uncultured archaeon
Lineage: Archaea
Description: partial 16S ribosomal RNA
Rfam family: Archaeal small subunit ribosomal RNA
Source: RNAcentral